Molecule: ribosomal RNA, 269 nt
Filed under: uncultured bacterium
Lineage: Bacteria
Description: partial 16S ribosomal RNA
Rfam family: Bacterial small subunit ribosomal RNA
Source: RNAcentral
GUCCACGCCCUAAACAUUGGAUACUAGAUAUUGCGAGGAAUCGACCCCUAGCAGUGUCGCAAGCUAACGCGUUAAGUAUCCCGCCUGAGGAGUACGAGCGCAAGCUUAAAACUCAAAGGAAUAGACGGGGACCCACACAAGCGGUGGAGCGUGUGGUUUAAUUCGACGAUAAACGAAGAACCUUACCUAGACUUGACAUCUUGCGAAUGCUCUGGAAACAGAGAGGUGCCCUUCGGGGAGCGCAAAGACAGGUGCUGCAUGGUUGUCGU